Gadus macrocephalus (Pacific cod) is the source of this 213-nucleotide long non-coding RNA. RefSeq lists it as uncharacterized. The record is from RefSeq and is a predicted model, not a curated record. NCBI's taxonomy places the organism in Eukaryota, Metazoa, Chordata, Actinopteri, Gadiformes, Gadidae. The transcript is spliced from 2 exons.
GUCUAAACCAUAAGACAACCACAACAACGUUUUGCUGAAGUAUCACUUACACACGUCCUCUUGUCUCAGAUUAUCAGGGUUCAUGGGUCAACACGAUUACAAAAUCAAUUGGUGUGUGCAGGGCCACAUAUUUAGAGUAUGCCUAAUGCAAGGUAUGGACAAUCAUUAAGUAGUGUGUGUUUUAAAUAAUCAUAAAAAAACUUUAAGAAUCCA